GCGGGAGUAGCUCACCUGGCAGAGCGCAACCUUCCCAAGGUUGAGGUAGCGAGUUCAAGUCUCGUCUCCCGCUCCA
RNAcentral lists this transfer RNA (76 nucleotides) under Candidatus Dormiibacterota bacterium. Its description in RNAcentral is "tRNA-Gly". It matches the Rfam family "tRNA". From Rfam's summary of the family: Transfer RNA (tRNA) molecules are approximately 80 nucleotides in length. Lineage: Bacteria; Bacillati; Candidatus Dormiibacterota. The record is from RNAcentral.